Long non-coding RNA from Contarinia nasturtii (swede midge), 365 nucleotides. RefSeq lists it as uncharacterized. The record is from RefSeq and is a predicted model, not a curated record. The transcript has 3 exons. NCBI's taxonomy places the organism in Eukaryota, Metazoa, Arthropoda, Insecta, Diptera, Cecidomyiidae.
CUGGAGAAAGUGGUCUAGUUUUCAACCUCAUAACAGCCAUUAAAAAACUACUUGAAGAAGUAUUGGGUUCAGGAAGUUCCUGUUCAGGUUCUAUUUUAGACGGUACACUUUCAGGACUUGGAGAAGCCCUACAAAAUUUAGUCGAUUCGUUAUUGGGCGGCGGCGAUUCUGGAAAUGGUCUAAUAUCGAAAGUCAUAGAAUACCUUUUAUGCCUAAUACAACAAAUACUAGGCGGAAGCGGUGAUUUGCCGAGUUCUGUGGUUAAGCUACUGAAUAAAAUCGUGCAAGCCAUUAUAGCAUUAUUGGGAUCAGAUUGUGGAUGCUCUGACUCACCCCCCGGAACUGGCACACCCCCGGGAACGGGC